GUAGGUGGCAAGCGUUGUCCGGAAUUAUUGGGCGUAAAGCGCGCGCAGGCGGUUCUUUAAGUCUGAUGUGAAAGCCCACGGCUCAACCGUGGAGGGUCAUUGGAAACUGGAGAACUUGAGUACAGAAGAGGAAAGCGGAGUUCCACGUGUAGCGGUGAAAUGCGUAGAGAUGUGGAGGAACACCAGUGGCGAAGGCGGCUUUCUGGUCUGUAACUGACGCUGAGGCGCGAAAGCGUGGGGAGCAAACAGGGAUUAGAUACCCUGGUAGUCCACGCCGUAAACGAUGAGUGCUAAGUGUUAGGGGGUUUCCGCCCCCUUAGUGCUGCAGCUAACGCAUUAAGCACUCCGCCUGGGGAGUACGGCCGCAAGGCUG
Molecule: ribosomal RNA, 373 nt
Filed under: uncultured organism
Description: partial 16S ribosomal RNA
Rfam family: Bacterial small subunit ribosomal RNA
Source: RNAcentral